UUGUCGUCAGCUCGUGUCGUGAGAUGUUGGGUUAAGUCCCGCAACGAGCGCAACCCUUAUUGUUAGUUGCCAUCAUUUAGUUGGGCACUCUAGCAAGACUGCCGGUGACAAACCGGAGGAAGGUGGGGAUGACGUCAAAUCAUCAUGCCCCUUAUGACCUGGGCUACACACGUGCUACAAUGGGAAGUACAACGAGUUGCGAAGUCGCGAGGCUAAGCUAAUCUCUUAAAGCUUCUCUCAGUUCGGAUUGCAGGCUGCAACUCGCCUGCAUGAAG
Molecule: ribosomal RNA, 275 nt
Filed under: Enterococcus lactis
Lineage: Bacteria; Bacillati; Bacillota; Bacilli; Lactobacillales; Enterococcaceae
Description: partial 16S ribosomal RNA
Rfam family: Bacterial small subunit ribosomal RNA
Source: RNAcentral